CGCUGGAGACCUUUCUGCUUCCCUCAGGAUUGAAAAAAUAAUAGAUUCCGUCACAGUCUCACAUUGGGUUGAGGAGCAUGCUCGCAGGUUCACGAGGGACAGUGUCUGCACAAGAAAGGGAGCAAGUGUCUCUGGCUCAUAUGCUAUCGCUGCACACAUAAAACAGGCCAUUAAGCAAGUUAGCGAUCAUUAAUGAACAUACUCGAGCAAGAUAGAUAUUUAUGCAAGUUGACGCGACACGUCAUUCAUUAAAAUAUUUGCUCAGAACACUGUCAAAUAAACAGCUGCACAUACAGCAACUCUGUUGUUGAGAACCUGCAUUGGUCUUAUAACAGUUAUGAUAAUGUAGAUCUAGAUCUGCAAGCGUUUCAGUAAAGAAUGACACGAGUCUUUUACACGUUCUGAUGUCAACUCAUGCAGUGAUACAGUAAAUAUGUGUGAAUAAUUUGGUGAAAAAAAUCAUAUUGUGGGUAUUAUGUUUCAAUUUAGGGUUGUGAUAAAAUACUAAUAAGUUUAGUAGUUUUAUUUACAGGCUACGAUUCAGAGAAUAAAAAAAAAUAGAAGAAUACCACAUUUGAACAAAACAAAAAUAUUAUUUAUUUACCUGUACUGUCUGUUUUUUUUUUAACUUCCAACUCCCACUGUCUGUUGCCGCCAGGCAAAUUAAAGCGAUGCACGCGCUGUUUGGCAGCGUGUUUCAUUGGUGGAUCUAUGUGUCACCCAAGUAGCCUGGUGGUGAUUGGUUGGCGGACCGCUAAUGUCACGGAAGCAGGUGUGGGAGUGUAGCGCCUUAGCCCAGUAAUGCUGGUAGCCUUUCUUAAUAGAGCCGAAACGUAGGCCCAGCGUUUCAGCGGUAAGGAUGUGGACGGUGACAGUUAAUUGGAGAAGCGGGCCAAUUGGAGCCUACACUAUGUGUGUGAGAUGAAAGAGUUGGUGGUAACUGACCUGGAGACUGUGCUUCCAGGACACUGGUAUCUUCCCCCUUCAAGCUACAUCAAGUUUCCUUCUCACUUUCACCCACACUCAUCCCUGGGAAAUGUAGAUCUUUUCCUGACAAGUUCCUCAAGAAGCAAAGCCUCUGGAGAUCAUCAGCAGAGCUCUGCCAAAGAAUGCGUGGGAAUAGUCUGGAUGGGAAAGGGAAGGGACUUUUAAUUGUUUUUCUUUUUUUCUUGUUCUGGAAUUAGUCAGUGGAAAAAAAUCUGUGAUUGUUCCUUUAUUUACCUUACAGGGAGCAAGGAUUUAAAGCGUGGGUGGCAGCCAUUGCUUAUAUAGGAGGCUCAAUAGUUAUAAUACUAUUCUAAUGUAAUUCUACCACUAAUGUUUGGAAAUGUUCUCCAUAUGAUACAAAUUAUGCAUAAUAAUUCUGUUUUGGAUAAGAUAAAUCAUGCAACUUUGAAGAGAAAUUACAGUAUGUACUCACUGUGUUUAUACACUCUGUAACCUGCCUGUAUCAACAGCUGGAAUAACAAGUGCUGUAUUUUUGGUCUUCAUUAAGAGCUCGCUCUGAUGGUUUCCUGAGUGGAGACAUUUAAAAGUUCAGCUCACAGGCUGAGGGUCGAAAAGGGCUGAAGAAGGAACUAAAAUGUCCUUUAACCAGACAGUUCUUUUGAAAAAUACAAUUCUUAUUUAUUAACAUUUUAUAAUUUAUAUAUCAGUUUUUAAUGUGUUUUUAAGGUAAGUGUCAUUUUUUCUGUAACAAAAUAUCUUCUUAAAUAAAAACUCAAUUUAGUUCCA
Long non-coding RNA from Betta splendens (Siamese fighting fish), 1734 nucleotides. The record is from Ensembl. NCBI's taxonomy places the organism in Eukaryota, Metazoa, Chordata, Actinopteri, Anabantiformes, Osphronemidae.